CAGCACCUACACAGCGUAAGCCCUUCCUCUCAAACACCCUUGCAGCCCCGAAGCUGCGCCAGUUGAAUAAGUGCGCGUAUUUUAAA
This 86-nucleotide small RNA is filed under the name Bacillus sp. SJS. RNAcentral's name for it is "BsrC". It matches the Rfam family "BsrC". From Rfam's summary of the family: The 301 nucleotide sequence from Kouji Nakamura has been trimmed to a highly conserved ~85 nucleotide long core to form this family. Lineage: Bacteria; Bacillati; Bacillota; Bacilli; Caryophanales; Bacillaceae. The record is from Rfam by way of RNAcentral.